This 479-nucleotide ribosomal RNA is filed under the name uncultured Rhodocyclaceae bacterium. Its description in RNAcentral is "bacterial SSU rRNA". It matches the Rfam family "Bacterial small subunit ribosomal RNA", at positions 339 to 810 of the family's 1533-position model. Lineage: Bacteria; Pseudomonadati; Pseudomonadota; Betaproteobacteria; Rhodocyclales; Rhodocyclaceae. The record is from RNAcentral.
CUACGGGAGGCAGCAGUGGGGAAUUUUGGACAAUGGGCGCAAGCCUGAUCCAGCCAUUCCGCGUGAGUGAAGAAGGCCUUCGGGUUGUAAAGCUCUUUCAGCGGGAACGAAACGGUCGAUCCUAAUACGGUCGGCUAAUGACGGUACCUGCAGAAGAAGCACCGGCUAACUACGUGCCAGCAGCCGCGGUAAUACGUAGGGUGCGAGCGUUAAUCGGAAUUACUGGGCGUAAAGCGUGCGCAGGCGGUGACAUAAGACAGAUGUGAAAUCCCCGGGCUCAACCUGGGAACUGCGUUUGUGACUGUGUCGCUCGAGUGUAGCAGAGGGGGGUGGAAUUCCACGUGUAGCAGUGAAAUGCGUAGAGAUGUGGAGGAACACCGAUGGCGAAGGCAGCCCCCUGGGUUAACACUGACGCUCAUGCACGAAAGCGUGGGGAGCAAACAGGAUUAGAUACCCUGGUAGUCCACGCCCUAAACGAU